RNAcentral lists this ribosomal RNA (265 nucleotides) under uncultured bacterium. RNAcentral's name for it is "partial 16S ribosomal RNA". It matches the Rfam family "Bacterial small subunit ribosomal RNA", at positions 524 to 788 of the family's 1533-position model. The record is from RNAcentral.
UACGUAGGGCGCAAGCGUUAUCCGGAAUUAUUGGGCGUAAAGAGCUCGUAGGCGGUUUGUCGCGUCUGCCGUGAAAGUCCGGGGCUCAACUCCGGAUCUGCGGUGGGUACGGGCAGACUAGAGUGAUGUAGGGGAGACUGGAAUUCCUGGUGUAGCGGUGAAAUGCGCAGAUAUCAGGAGGAACACCGAUGGCGAAGGCAGGUCUCUGGGCAUUAACUGACGCUGAGGAGCGAAAGCAUGGGGAGCGAACAGGAUUAGAUACCCG